UGCGUACCUUUUGUAUAAUGGGUCAGCGACUUAUAUUCUGUAGCAAGGUUAACCGAAUAGGGGAGCCGGAGGGAAACCGAGUCUUAAUUGGGCGUUAAGUUGCAGGGUAUAGACCCGAAACCCGGUGAUCUAGCCAUGGGCAGGUUGAAGGUUGGGUAACACUAACUGGAGGACCGAACCGACUAAUGUUGAAAAAUUAGCGGAUGACCUGUGGCUGGGGGUGAAAGGCCAAUCAAACCGGGAGAUAGCUGGUUCUCCCCGAAAGCUAUUUAGGUAGCGCCUCGUGAAUUCAUCUCCGGGGGUAGAGCACUGUUUCGGCUAGGGGGCCAUCCCGGCUUACCAACCCGAUGCAAACUGCGAAUACCGGAGAAUGUUAUCACGGGAGACACACGGCGGGUGCUAACGUCCGUCGUGAAGAGGGAAACAACCCAGACCGCCAGCUAAGGUCCCAAAGUCAUGGUUAAGUGGGAAACGAUGUGGGAAGGCCCAGACAGCCAGGAUGUUGGCUUAGAAGCAGCCAUCAUUUAAAGAAAGCGUAAUAGCUCACUGGUCGAGUCGGCCUGCGCGGAAGAUGUAACGG
Molecule: ribosomal RNA, 580 nt
Filed under: Salmonella enterica subsp. enterica
Lineage: Bacteria; Pseudomonadati; Pseudomonadota; Gammaproteobacteria; Enterobacterales; Enterobacteriaceae
Description: bacterial LSU rRNA
Rfam family: Bacterial large subunit ribosomal RNA
Source: RNAcentral